AGUAGCAGCCACACUGCAGUGCAAGUGCCCAAUAGCGUCUGCCCCUGGAAGCUGAACAGAGCAGUGCCUGGUUAGUACUUGGAUGGGAGACUAGCUUGGAAGACCAGGGGCCGCUAUCC
RNAcentral lists this ribosomal RNA (119 nucleotides) under Mastacembelus armatus (zig-zag eel). Lineage: Eukaryota; Metazoa; Chordata; Actinopteri; Synbranchiformes; Mastacembelidae. The record is from RNAcentral.